This is a long non-coding RNA of Macadamia integrifolia, 385 nucleotides long. RefSeq lists it as uncharacterized. The record is from RefSeq and is a predicted model, not a curated record. Lineage: Eukaryota; Viridiplantae; Streptophyta; Magnoliopsida; Proteales; Proteaceae. The transcript has 2 exons.
GUUUUAAGAUCUGUACCUCUUGCAGUUCUCCAAUUCAAGACAGUCAUGAAGGUGGUGGUGAUUUCCUUGGUCAUACUCUUGGUUAUGGCAUCCCAGCCCAUAGUGGAAGGAGAUGGAGGAGUGGACUGCCAAAGCGCUAAGGACUGCCCGGCUGCUUCUACUCCAGGAUGCAGGUUGGCAGGUUGUAUUGAUCGGAAGUGCAUUUGGGUGUGCGAUGUGAAAGAAGCAGCAACAGAAGCCAUCCAUAAGGGGCUUACUGGUUAAAGUUUGAUUAACCGAGCAUUGCAGCAUAAAAUUUUAACCUCCCCCCCUUUUUUUUAUUUUUCUAGUUUGUGAUGGUCCUUGUUUGGAAUUGGAAAAUAAUGAUCUAAUAAUUUUAUCAUUA